UUACAUAUAUAGACUCACAACCCUAACCCUAAUGGGUUGGCAGCCCAACAGUGGUGUCAGCCCACUCUCUCACACAGUCUAACAUCCCCGCAGUCGCAACGGGGACAUCACAUACGAUGAGACCGGAGUAGAAGACGCAGGUAGAAGCCGACGGGUUGAAUCCCCUCACAGCCGCAACGUCGUGAGGGUACGAAUGUUGCAGCUGGAGCAGAGACCGGUGUAUGAGCAAAGGAGGCGAUAGCCCCUAGAUGCCGAGGUAGCCAAAGUCGAGGUGGUCGCGGUCGGGAGACACGUAGCAGAAGCCUGUUCUUCAGGAGGGGUCGACGUUCGAGCGUCAACGAUCGGCGAGGGCGACACAACAAAAGAGCACUAGCAGGCCGACCUUCUUGCUUCUUUGAUCGUCCGGAUGUCGAGGAGCCCCGCCAGGGAGGCCGACGGUAGCACACGCGUCUGCGCCGGUCAUGGUGCCCGUGCCCGUGGCAGAAUAUAAGGGGUAAUGACGGAUCCGGCCAGGAAGGCCACGACAGCGACGGAUCCGGCCGCGAAGACGCGAUCCGGCCAAAGGGACGACAGAUCGAGCCGAGAAGGUCGCAACAACGGUGAAUCAGGCUGGGAAGGCCGCGGCAGCGACGGAUCCAACGAAGACGAUGAAGGGGAGGGCGACGGGGCGGUUCCAGUCGGGCAGGGGCCUGCGCCGGUCCUGGCAGGAAAGGGUUGACACGGCGACAAGAGAGGCGCUGCUAGGCGGCUCAGACGAGGGCAGGGGGGCGUGUUGAUGGCGCCGUUGAUCCUAGAACUGGCCAACCAAGGCGGAGAUAAAAGAGAGUCGCGGGCCAAGAAGGUGGCGGCGCGGGCUAGAUGAGGUAAAGGCGCUCGGCGGCGGCGUGACCUGCGAUCGGGG
This 901-nucleotide long non-coding RNA is filed under the name Zea mays. Its description in RNAcentral is "drought responsive lncRNA". Lineage: Eukaryota; Viridiplantae; Streptophyta; Magnoliopsida; Poales; Poaceae. The record is from RNAcentral.